GACGAAACGCUGGCGGCGUGCUUAAACACAUGCAAGUCGAGCGGUAAGGCCCCUUCGGGGGGUACACGAGCGGCGAAACGGGUGAGUAACACGUGGGUGACCUGCCCUCAGCUCUGGGAUAAGCCUGGGAAACUGGGUCUAAUACCGGAUAUGACUCCAUGACGCAUGUCGUGGGGUGGAAAGCCUUGUGCGGCUGGGGGAUGGGCCCGCGGCCUAUCAGCUUUGUUGGUGGGGUGAUGGCCUACCAAGGCGACGACGGGUAGCCGGCCUGAGAGGGCGACCGGCCACACUGGGACUGAGACACGGCCCAGACUCC
Molecule: ribosomal RNA, 316 nt
Filed under: uncultured bacterium
Lineage: Bacteria
Description: bacterial SSU rRNA
Rfam family: Bacterial small subunit ribosomal RNA
Source: RNAcentral